Molecule: non-coding RNA, 111 nt
Organism: Sporosarcina psychrophila
Lineage: Bacteria; Bacillati; Bacillota; Bacilli; Caryophanales; Caryophanaceae
Source: Rfam
UACUUAUCAAGAGAGACUGAGGGAUAGGCCCGAUGACGUCCAGCAACCCCUUGCGUAAUGUAAGGAAGGUGCUAACUCCUACAGAGUGAAUUUCAUUCUGAAAGAUGAGCU